Juglans regia (Persian walnut) is the source of this 80-nucleotide small nucleolar RNA. RefSeq annotates it as small nucleolar RNA U31b. The record is from RefSeq and is a predicted model, not a curated record. Lineage: Eukaryota; Viridiplantae; Streptophyta; Magnoliopsida; Fagales; Juglandaceae. The transcript has a single exon.
GAAAAUGAUGAUAGUUUUUGUCGCCCCAGUCUUACUUGCAUCUCACGAUGCAAGAUGGUGAUGGACAUUUUAUCUGAUUC